RNAcentral lists this ribosomal RNA (396 nucleotides) under uncultured bacterium. RNAcentral describes it as "bacterial SSU rRNA". It matches the Rfam family "Bacterial small subunit ribosomal RNA", at positions 28 to 429 of the family's 1533-position model. The record is from RNAcentral.
GACGAACGCUGGCGGCGUGCUUAACACAUGCAAGUCGAGCGGUAAGGCCCUUUCGGGGGUACACGAGCGGCGAACGGGUGAGUAACACGUGGGUGACCUGCCCUUAGCUCUGGGAUAAGCCUGGGAAACUGGGUCUAAUACCGGAUAUGACUCCAUGACGCAUGUUGUGGGGUGAAAGCCUUGUGCGGCUAGGGAUGGGCCCGCGGCCUAUCAGCUUGUUGGUGGGGUGAUGGCCACCAAGGCGACGACGGGUAGCCGGCCUGAGAGGGCGACCGGCCACACUGGGACUGAGACACGGCCCAGACUCCUACGGGAGGCAGCAGUGGGGAAUCUUGCGCAAUGGGCGAAAGCCUGACGCAGCGACGCCGCGUGAGGGAUGACGGCCUCGGUUGUAAC